RNAcentral lists this long non-coding RNA (469 nucleotides) under Capsicum annuum. Its description in RNAcentral is "long non-coding RNA (CANN_LNC018497)". The record is from RNAcentral. Lineage: Eukaryota; Viridiplantae; Streptophyta; Magnoliopsida; Solanales; Solanaceae.
UACGGUUGUAAAUUGAAGUUUGUGUGUGCUAAUUGACUAUUAGUCAAGUUUCCUAGUUUUACGUUUUUUUGUUGUUUUUGUUUAUUGCAUGAUCUUUGUUUUCUAUGCUAAGAACCAAAAGUUCUGGAGAACUAUUAUCAUCAUUUAAUCUAGAACCGCAGCGAAUUGGAAAAAUGGCAGACUAGCAGGAGGCUGACAGGUUAGCAGCCUUAGCUAGAGCUCAGGUGAAUGUGCAGAAUGUCAGUCAACAAGUACGGCAUCCAAAUCUUGAGGAUGGAGAUUUGGGAGACGAGGAGUUGCUAAACCCUGGUAACCCAAGGGGUGAUAAACAAAUAGUUGCACCAGUACAGCAUAAUGCCAAUAGGAACCAUCUAUUUAUAGCAAUCCAGGAUCACCAGUCGGUCCAGUAUGACCUUAAUGAUGAUGAUGAUGGAAUGGAUGGAGAAAGUGAAACAGGUGCAAUUAUUCC